RNAcentral lists this ribosomal RNA (467 nucleotides) under uncultured bacterium. RNAcentral's name for it is "partial 16S ribosomal RNA". It matches the Rfam family "Bacterial small subunit ribosomal RNA", at positions 29 to 507 of the family's 1533-position model. The record is from RNAcentral.
ACGAACGCUGGCGGCGUGCUUAACACAUGCAAGUCGAACGGAAAGGCCCUGCUUUUGUGGGGUGCUCGAGUGGCGAACGGGUGAGUAACACGUGAGUAACCUGCCCUUGACUUUGGGAUAACUUCAGGAAACUGGGGCUAAUACCGGAUAGGAGCUCCUGCUGCAUGGUGGGGGUUGGAAAGUUUCGGCGGUUGGGGAUGGACUCGCGGCUUAUCAGCUUGUUGGUGGGGUAGUGGCUUACCAAGGCUUUGACGGGUAGCCGGCCUGAGAGGGUGACCGGCCACAUUAGGACUGAGGUACGGCCCAGACUCCUACGGGAGGCAGCAGUGGGGAAUAUUGCACAAUGGGCGGAAGCCUGAUGCAGCAACGCCGCGUGCGGGAUGACGGCCUUCGGGUUGUAAACCGCUUUCGCCUAUGACGAAGCGUGAGUGACGGUAAUGGGUAAAGAAGCACCGGCUAACUACGUG